CCUACGGGUGGCAGCAGUGAGGAAUUUUGGUCAAUGCACGCAAGUCUGAACCAGCCAUGCCGCGUGCAUGACGACGGCUCUAUGAGUUGUAAGCUCCUUUUGUACGAGGGUAAACGCAGAUACGCGUCUCUGUCUGAAAUUAUCGUACGUAUAAGAAUCGCCUAACUCCGUGCCAGCAGCCGCGGUACUACGGAGGAUUCAAGCGUUAUCCGGAUUUAUUGGGUUUAAAGGGUGCGUAGGCGGUCGGAUAAGUUAGAGGUGAAAUCCCGAGGCUCAACUUCGGAAUUGCCUGUGAUACUGUUCGGCUAGAGAGUAGUUGCGGUAGGCGGAAUGUAUGGUGUAGCGGUGAAAUGCUUAGAGAUCAUACAGAACACCGAUUGCGAAGGCAGCUUACCAAGCUACUUCUGACGUUGAGGCACGAAAGCGUGGGGAGCAAACAGGAUUAGAUACCCCUGUAGUC
RNAcentral lists this ribosomal RNA (460 nucleotides) under uncultured bacterium. Its description in RNAcentral is "partial 16S ribosomal RNA". It matches the Rfam family "Bacterial small subunit ribosomal RNA", at positions 338 to 795 of the family's 1533-position model. The record is from RNAcentral.